This is a long non-coding RNA of Myiozetetes cayanensis, 2029 nucleotides long. RefSeq lists it as uncharacterized. The record is from RefSeq and is a predicted model, not a curated record. Lineage: Eukaryota; Metazoa; Chordata; Aves; Passeriformes; Tyrannidae. The transcript has 8 exons.
UUUCUCUCCUCCUUUCUAUUUUAUGGGUUUCAAGCCUUUAAUUGCAGAUUAAGCACAAAUCUCUUCAAACAGUGCUCUGCUUGUGCAUCAGUGAUGCUUGAUGCUGACUCUAAAGGAUUCUCAGAUCCACUCAACCCAGUUAGGAGCUCCUUUAUUGUCCUGAUGAGGCUUUAGUCCAACUCUGUAUCCUUGUCUGCCAAGGACACUGUUCUCCCCUUGCGACCACCUUGAGCCGAAUUGCAGAGGUUGGCAGCUCCCAGAACCGUUCACAGCGUGCAGCAGAGCUCAGCAUGCUCUUCUGCACCAAGCUGUUGCAUCGAGAAAGUCUUUCCUAUUUGUUUUAUUUUUCUGGAAAUACUUCGGAAGUAAGAAUGAGGUUUCUUAUAUGAGCUUUUGCUUUUCUAACAAAGGAAAAACAAAAGAGGACUAGAAGGUUUACCAAAGCUGUUGUCACAGUAUCCUUGGAAGCUGCCUGCUUGGGAGAGACAGGGGUAUGGAAGACAUAUCUGACUAUGGGAUCUUCUGCUGUAGGCAGAAGAUGGUGAAUUGAAACAACCAUAAUGGGAGUUGCAGCCAAAAACAAGGGCAUUUACAAAGGAUAAUUAUUGCUUAGAUUAUGAAUAUCAAAUUUCUAUUGGCAUGAAAAAAUUACAUCUUACAGAGAUAUUAUAAGCAUUGUCAUUCACAAUGAAGCAUGACAGAAAAAGAUUUUACUCUCAGCUGCCUGUAGAAUUAAAUCACAUAAUCCAGUCUUUCUUCAGAGAAAUGUGAAGCUGAAACUCAGAAGGAUGCAUAUUUCUAUGUAAAAAUAACAUCAUUCCCCUCCUCAGAUUUGGUUCAACACUAGCAUGGAGAACUGCAAUAUAGGAAAGACAGGUGGGAAAUGUAAAGUUCUCUGGCCAUUGACAGAGUUCAAACAUUCAAACAUUUCCAGUUUCCCAUCCAGUUGUUGUCUUCAGCUUCAUUUGAUUAAGAAUGUCCCUUCCAGCCCCAUGAGGGAUGUCGUCUGAGACCUGCUAAUCUCGCAAGGAGGAGAGCAUGGAUGUGGGGCUCAAAGGUGCGGGUGGCAUCACAAUCUCACAGGAACCUACAGGCAAUCUGCGAAAAAAACACGAGGACCUCAAAGUCCCAGCAGGAAAUCAUAGCUAUGUAAAGAAACAAAAUAGAAAGUCAGAGUUUGCUUAGGAAGGACUGACUGACAGAAAUUAAGGAAAUGAGGUGUGAAUAAAAGGAUGCCUAUACCAAAAGAGUACAAGAGCUGAGGAAAAAUAGUCCUCUUGAUAGCCUCAAUGUCAUGACAAAAAGAGAAAACAGGGAUAUUUUAAUGAGGAGUAAUUUACUGUUAAUAUAUAAUAAAACAAGGGAAUUUCUAUCACAGAAGAAGGAUCAGAUGGAUGUGGAUUAAAUCUAGCAAAGUUAUUCAAUAUCUGACUGUCAACAGGGAUUUUUUAACUACCUGUCAGGGACUGACUGCAGCUGAACAGAAGGGAUUGUCCAAAAUUUUAUCAGACUGUGUUGGAAUAAUUUUUUUUGUAUGGAUGGAGAACAAAUGAAUUAAUGGGGACCUCUACAGAAUUUGAUUCUGACAAGAAAAUCUUGCAGAAAAUGUGAAGAAGAAAGGCAGCAAUUAGGAAAGGAUGGUUAAAUAAAAUCAAUUCCAAUUAAGUAGACUUCAAUAAAUUGAUGAUUUUGAUUUCUGUUAGAUUUUGGGAAAACUGUCUAACAACGAAGAUGGUUAAGUAAAGAGGUAGAGUGCCAAGGAGAGUGCCCAUUGCUGGGAGUUUUGAGUGGAUGAGAAAGCUGGGUUAAGGGUCUAGUAAUCUUGUGCUGAAGUAGAGGUUGCCCACUUGUGGUAUCUUCUGUGCCCCACUUUGAUGAUCUGAUGAUAAAGAGAUCAGAUAAAGAGGUUAUUGAGUUUAUAACAUAAGUCAUAUCCUGUUUAUGCCUAAUUGACUGUAAUGAUAUUCUGUAGUCCUGUGAAUGUAACUAUCUGCUUUUUAAAACAUUUGGAAUUGUCAGAUUGCAUGAA